This is a long non-coding RNA of Bos taurus (domestic cattle), 2088 nucleotides long. NCBI's taxonomy places the organism in Eukaryota, Metazoa, Chordata, Mammalia, Artiodactyla, Bovidae. The record is from Ensembl.
CUUCACAGCUGUGUAAGGGCUGCUGCUCUCAAUAUUAUUAUCAACUAUAAUAGCUAAUAUUCAGUGCUUGCUCUGUGGUAGGCAUAAGAAAGGUGAAAGUGUCACACAAAUCUGAACCAUUAUUUUUAUAUUAUAUUAAUGAAUUUAAUGGUUGAUUCAGAAGGAAAUGGCAACCCACUCCAGUAUUCUUGCCUGGAGAAUCCCCUGGAUGGAGGAGCCUGGUAGGCUACAGUCCAUGGGGUCACAAAGAGUGGGACACAAAUGAGCGACUUCACCUUCAUUUUAAGAAAACAAUUGGUACUGCUUUUGGUGAGUUUGGCAUGGCCAGGCUCAUGCCAUGUGCUUCCAGUGGAUUCUUCACUUAGGCCUCCCUACAACCUCGUGAGGUGAGUCUGCUCUUCUUCCCAUUUACGGACAAGGUGAGUAUGUCUCGGUUUAAUCAACUUACUCAAAUCAUGGUGCCAGUAAUUAGUAGAACAAGGAGUUCAAACCCAGAUCUCUUUGACUUAGGACAAAGCACAGAUCCCCCAAAUCGGCAGAAUGACACUCUGCAAACAGAGAGGGCUGCAAGGUGCCACCAGGUGACGUGCCCACAACGUCCACUUGUGCUGGGCAGAAAGACGGACCACUGAGGGGAAAGAGAGACAACUCGGCGCCAAGUCCUGCAUGGAUUAACAAGCCAGUGAUUGCCGAGGCUGUGAGGCAGUUCCUGUGAUAAUCAUUAGCAUCUAGAUUCCAGAACCACGGGGAUCACCGAAGACAGCUGCCUGGCGAAGGGCCUCCCUGGUUUCCCUGAGAAUGCCCUUGCUCUGCACCCGGAGAAACCCACAGGUGCCCCACGGAGCAGCAGCACCCUCUGCACCGGGCCCUGUGGGCACCGCUUUCUCCCAAGGGAAAAAUCUCGCAGUUCCUAUGUGGUGGGAACUCCGCGUCUACAGAGCAGCUUCUGGCAGGAAAGCCCAUGGCAGAGUCCAGCAAGGGGCUACCAAGCCCUGGAGCGCUGCCUCCUGCUUGGCGGGGCUCAGAGGGGGGAUGGAGACCUUCUCAGGCACCAGCAAAUCCGCAGUGUCGGUAGCGGCCGCCGUUCUUCUCACCCGGAGGGAGCCCGGCCGGGUCCACUGGGCUCCCUGCCCAAGCCCUGUGGGCAGUCAGGUCAAGAAAACCCAGGUGGAGAGAAUGUUCUAAGCUGUUCCCUGCAGACAACACAGUCAUCACGUGGAAUUCAGGCCUCCUCACUGGAUUCAUCUUGGCUAAGAGAUGCACACACACACGGGAGGAUCUGGAGAUGAACCAAAUAUGGACUCAGAACCAGGCAAAGCAAGCUGAUGGGCCAGGGCCUUGCCACUGGCUGCUGGUCUAGUGGCUAGGAUUCCGCGCUGUCUCUGCCACGGCCUGACUUCACUCUCCAGCUGGGAAUCUAAAUCCUGCUUCAAGCCACUGCAGGCCGAGAUCAACCUGAGUUGGCAGAUAGAGCCCACGAUGACCCAUAGGACGGCAGCUGGAAUGGUGCUGGGAGGGCCCACAGGCAGGGCUUGCGUGCCUACCCCGCAGGUCUGGAGUGGCUAGCUGUCUGUGGAAGGGCCCUGGGGCUGCCCUGGAUUUGGUGAGAAAAGGGAUCUCAGCCAGCUUCCACCUCUGCUGUGGACACAGGCUCCGAGCCUUGGAACGCUCUGAGAGCCGGAAGGUGCCUGCAGAGUCGGUUGCAGGCAACUGACUGUUGUGUGACAUCAGGGUUCUUGCUUAACCUGUGAACCCCCAUCUCUAUAAACUGAUGGAAAGCUAUCUAUGAUCUAGGAUUCUUAUGAAGAGUAAACGAAGCAAUGUUUGCAGAGCACCUGGGACCCAACGUAUACUAUGUCUCUCCUCUUCUCACCUUCUAAGGUAUCCUCAUGUCAGACACCUUUUCUUUGUGUCUAUAUCAGUGGAUGUAUUUACCGUUCAGUCCCUCCUUCAUGCAGAUGCAAAUCUGUCUGGGACUAAGGACAGAAGCAUACUUCAGCAGUGACCCAUCCUGGGUGUGACACAAUUUCUCUGGCAUUGACUUUCAGGUGUGAGUCUGGUUGGAAUUCUGCAGGGACGGGUUUUCAG